GCCUUCGUGGUGUAGUGGACAGUACGCUCGACGUGUAUUCGAGAGGUCCGUGGUUCGAGUCCCGGCGAGGGUA
Molecule: transfer RNA, 73 nt
Filed under: Stegodyphus mimosarum
Lineage: Eukaryota; Metazoa; Arthropoda; Arachnida; Araneae; Eresidae
Rfam family: tRNA
About the family: Transfer RNA (tRNA) molecules are approximately 80 nucleotides in length.
Source: Rfam by way of RNAcentral